Molecule: ribosomal RNA, 109 nt
Filed under: Pteropus alecto (black flying fox)
Lineage: Eukaryota; Metazoa; Chordata; Mammalia; Chiroptera; Pteropodidae
Source: RNAcentral
GUGUGCAGCCAUGCCACCCUGAACAAGCUCAAUCUCAGAAGCUAAGCAGGGUUGGGCCUGGUUAGUACUUGGAGGGGAGACCACCUAGAAAGACCAGGUGCUGUGGGCA